GCUCUGAUCCCUGUGGGCCAGUGUUCUACUGCCUUCAGGAGGAAGCUGGUCUUGUGGGGGUUCCACCGCCUGCUUGUCUAGGGACGACCUUCACAUGCCCCGCUGCAGCUGACAGAAGGUGGCUCUGGCCUCUGCAGAUCUUGUAGCUGGAUGAACAGCUCAUCUCUCUUCUCUCUUGUAGGAAGCCCGCAGCCACUGGUGCCCCCAAGACAAAAGGAAGAAAAGUACAAGCUUGAGGCAUGGGAUCCUGGUGGAGAAGGAAGAAGGAGGUACUUGAAGCAGCUGCUUAUACUGUGUCUGAAGUCAGGAAGAAAGCGAUGCACGCCUGCUGCUCAGCCCCCUCUCCACUUACACAGGUCCGGAUCCCAGUGAGGCAGUCACUCACAAUGGACGGAUCUUCUCACUCAACAACACAAUCAAGACUUCUUGGACAACAGCUCAGCAUUCCCAGUGAAUUACAUCUCACUCCCUGGGUGCUGCGGACUACAGAUUGGGAGGCUGAGGCACGAUGCCGUGGAUCAGACAGCCACAAUCCUUUCAAAGUCGACUGACACAGCAAGAAACAAGUCAGUUACCACCAGCCAAUGGGAACGAGGCUGCUCUGGGUUAACUUCCCGGCCCUGAAAUCUUCUCGGUUGAGAAACAACCAGCAAGCAUUGACAGGA
Molecule: long non-coding RNA, 665 nt
Organism: Alexandromys fortis (reed vole)
Lineage: Eukaryota; Metazoa; Chordata; Mammalia; Rodentia; Cricetidae
Exons: 3
Source: RefSeq, a predicted model, not a curated record